Molecule: ribosomal RNA, 254 nt
Filed under: uncultured bacterium
Lineage: Bacteria
Description: partial 16S ribosomal RNA
Rfam family: Bacterial small subunit ribosomal RNA
Source: RNAcentral
UACGUAGGGUGCGAGCGUUAAUCGGAAUUACUGGGCGUAAAGCGUGCGCAGGCGGUUUUGUAAGCCAGAUGUGAAAUCCCCGGGCUUAACCUGGGAAUGGCAUUUGGGACUGCAAGGCUGGAGUGUGGCAGAGGAGACUGGAAUUCCUGGUGUAGCAGUGAAAUGCGUAGAUAUCAGGAGGAAUACCGAUGGCGAAGGCAGGUCUCUGGGCUGACACUGACGCUCAUGCACGAAAGCGUGGGGAGCAAACAGGA